Molecule: ribosomal RNA, 485 nt
Filed under: uncultured bacterium
Lineage: Bacteria
Description: partial 16S ribosomal RNA
Rfam family: Bacterial small subunit ribosomal RNA
Source: RNAcentral
GAUGAACGCUGGCGGCGUGCUUAACACAUGCGAGUCGAACGGGAUCCAAGGAGCGUUUUUCGUUUUUUGGUGCGAGUGGCGAACGGGUGAGUAACACGUGAGUAACCUGUCCUUUUCUUUGGGAUAAGCUCCUGAAAGGGUGUUUAAUACCUUAUGUUCUGUCUGCCUCGCAUGGGGUGGGUGGGUAAGAUUUUUUCGGUGAAGGGUGGGCUCGCGGUCUAUCAGCUUGUUGGUGGGGUGAUGGCUUACCAAGGCUUUGACGGGUAGCCGGCCUGAGAGGGCGUUCGGUCACAUGCGGCCUCAGAUCGGCCCCAGACCCCUCCGGACGGCAGCGGUGGGGAUAUUGCACAAUGGGCGCAAGACUGAUGCAGCGACGCCGCGUGGGGGAUGAAGGCCUUCGGGUUGUAAACUUCUUUUGCUCUGAACAAGGCGCAUCUUUGGGGUGUGUUGAGUGUAGGGGUUGAUUAGCGCCGGCUAACUACGUG